GCUCCCGUGGUGUAGAGGCCUAGCCGCAUAACCCGGUCAAGCAUUCCGGCCUUUCGAGCCGGCGAUCCCGGGUUCAAAUCCCGGCGGGAGCACCA
This 95-nucleotide transfer RNA is filed under the name Candidatus Geothermarchaeota archaeon. RNAcentral's name for it is "tRNA-Glu". It matches the Rfam family "tRNA". From Rfam's summary of the family: Transfer RNA (tRNA) molecules are approximately 80 nucleotides in length. Their secondary structure includes four short double-helical elements and three loops (D, anti-codon, and T loops). Lineage: Archaea; Thermoproteati; Candidatus Geothermarchaeota. The record is from RNAcentral.